AAUUACUUAAUAGGAUCACUGAAAACUUAAAGGGAAAAAUUGUGCAAAAUUUGGAAUGAACUGAAAAUUGAACUGGAAAAUAGCAAUCUGUUUAGCAAAACUAGUUUAAAUACUAUACACUCUUUAAAAACACAAAUAUUCAAAUGAAGAAACUAAUAGAGAAACAGUAUCUCGCGUCGAAACGACCCUAAAGGAACAAAAGAUACUCUUCAAAGACCUAUAGUUUUAGUGCUUCUCUGAAUCCAAUGCUGAAACUUUGCUCUAGACCUUUCUUGCCACCACCAAGCACUGGAUUUCCCUUUUGCAUCAUAGCAACAAACUCAUUGUAAUCAAUACGUCCGUCAUUGUCCUGGUCAGCUUCUCUGAUCAUUUCUUCCAUUCGAACAUCUCCAAUGCCAAAUUCUUCACAAGCAUGUUGAAGCUCGUCUGCAGUGAUGUAGCCACUUCCAUCUUUAUCAAAGUAAGAGAAUGCAGCAAAAAGAUGAUCGUCUCGUUCAAUUUUGUUAAGGUGUAAUGUUGCAGCUAUAAAUUCACCAUAAUCAAUUGUUCCACUGUUAUCAACAUCAGCUGCUUGCAUAAGAUCAUAGAUCUCGGAUUCCUUGAGAUUAGCGCCAACUCUUUUUAAACCAACUUUGAGCUCCUCAAAAGUUAUUUGACCACUAUUGUCUGUAUCAAUCAUCUUGAACAUUUCUUUCAGACCGGCAAUUUCUUCUUCAGACAGGCUU
Molecule: unclassified non-coding RNA, 725 nt
Filed under: Hevea brasiliensis (rubber tree)
Lineage: Eukaryota; Viridiplantae; Streptophyta; Magnoliopsida; Malpighiales; Euphorbiaceae
Source: RNAcentral